RNAcentral lists this ribosomal RNA (451 nucleotides) under uncultured bacterium. Its description in RNAcentral is "bacterial SSU rRNA". It matches the Rfam family "Bacterial small subunit ribosomal RNA", at positions 354 to 796 of the family's 1533-position model. The record is from RNAcentral.
GUGGGGAAUAUUGGGCAAUGGGCGCAAGCCUGACCCAGCCAUGCCGCGUGAGUGAUGAAGGCCUUCGGGUCGUAAAGCUCUGUGGGGAGGGACGAAACCACCAGGGAAUAAUACGCCUUGGUGCUGACGGUACCUCCUUAGCAAGCACCGGCUAACUCCGUGCCAGCAGCCGCGGUAAUACGGAGGGUGCAAACGUUGCUCGGAAUCAUUGGGCGUAAAGCGCACGUAGGCGGCCCGUCAAGUCGGAUGUGAAAUCCCUCGGCUCAACCGAGGAAGUGCAUUCGAAACUGUCAGGCUCGAGUAGGGAAGAGGGUCUCGGAAUUCCCGGUGUAGAGGUGAAAUUCGUAGAUAUCGGGAGGAACACCAGUGGCGAAGGCGGAGACCUGGGCCCAUACUGACGCUGAGGUGCGAAAGCGUGGGGAGCAAACAGGAUUAGAAACCCGUGUAGUCC